This 97-nucleotide transfer RNA is filed under the name Rhodotorula toruloides. RNAcentral's name for it is "tRNA-Leu". It matches the Rfam family "tRNA". From Rfam's summary of the family: Transfer RNA (tRNA) molecules are approximately 80 nucleotides in length. The record is from RNAcentral. Lineage: Eukaryota; Fungi; Basidiomycota; Microbotryomycetes; Sporidiobolales; Sporidiobolaceae.
GGCGUGAUGGCCGAGUGGUCUAAGGCGCUGUCUUCAGGCUUUGUACAAGCAUGAUCGGCAGUCAGAAAUGGCGAGGGUUCGAAUCCCUCUCACGUCA